This 451-nucleotide ribosomal RNA is filed under the name uncultured bacterium. RNAcentral describes it as "bacterial SSU rRNA". It matches the Rfam family "Bacterial small subunit ribosomal RNA", at positions 28 to 526 of the family's 1533-position model. The record is from RNAcentral.
GAUGAACGCUGGCGGUCUGCUUAACACAUGCAAGUCGAACGGACUCUUCGGAGUUAGUGGCGGACGGGUGAGUAACGCGUGAGAAUCUGGCUUCAGGACGGGGACAACAGUGGGAAACUGCUGCUAAUACCGGAUGAGCCGAAAGGUAAAAGAUUUAUCGCCUGAAGAUGAGCUCGCGUCCGAUUAGCUAGUUGGGGGUGUAAAAGACCACCAAGGCGACGAUCGGUAGCUGGUCUGAGAGGAUGACCAGCCACACUGGGACUGAGACACGGCCCAGACUCCUACGGGAGGCAGCAGUGGGGAAUUUUCCGCAAUGGGCGAAAGCCUGACGGAGCAAGACCGCGUGAGGGAGGAAGGCUCUUGGGUUGUAAACCUCUUUUCUCAAGGAAGAUAAUGACGGUACUUGAGGAAUCAGCAUCGGCUAACUCCGUGCCAGCAGCCGCAGUAAUAC